RNA transcript from Malaya genurostris, 1215 nucleotides. RefSeq lists it as uncharacterized. The transcript has 5 exons. The record is from RefSeq and is a predicted model, not a curated record. Lineage: Eukaryota; Metazoa; Arthropoda; Insecta; Diptera; Culicidae.
GAGCAACCGGAAUAAGAAGAGAAAUAUUUUUCUGGAAAAAGAAGCCAGUUGUCUGGUCCUGUCCUAGGAAUAUCUCGACGAUGAUUUCACAUUGGAAGAAAUGGCUUCUGUAAAAAAGAAAAAAGUAUAGGUAUGCGGAACAGAUGCGAGGUAAAAACUAUGACGAUAAGACAAUUGACCAAAAUGUCAAUAAACAUUCACUCGAAGACUUUGAAGACAAUUUUGCAGCAGUAGAAGAUAUUGAUGGAUCACCUCAUUUACAUCUUUCGGAAAUUGUUGAGCGGCAACAAAAAGCUUUAUUCAGCAUGUUGUUCAAAAUGACACAGUCGUUGAAUGUGACACAAUCCAAAAUUAUUGGAAUCGAAGAAAUGCUAAAGAGCACUACAGAGCAAUCUCCCAAAUUCAGGCUGGAUUGGCCUAUCAUGAGCCUUGAUGCACUAAUAGCAAUAGAAAAUGAGUUAAAAACAGGAAACGAUUAAUUGAAAACAACUCUACAAGGAAAGUUUGAAAAAGGCGAUCGAAAUACAUUAUAUGGAUUCAUAAAUCAAAGUCUUAAUGGAAUAUUAUACCACAAUAAUGAAAGAUGGACAUGGACUGGGUUAUUACCAAACAAUGUUCGCAAUCAAGAGAAUAUGCCCAAAUCACGACCCGCUUCGGACUUGCAAAGCAUUAGUUUGUUGAAAGAUACAGCUCUUAAAAUUUUUCCCAGUGAGACCGACGUCACUGUUACAACAUGUUUAAAGAGAGCAUUGAUUAACCAUAAUGAAUCUAUGAAAAAAAAGCGUAAGGAUGAAACUUUUUCGUUGAGUGAGCAAAUUUUAAAUCGUUUGUAAUAGAAAAAAUAACGAUCAGUUGCGCAGUAUGUAUCCAUAUACUGUUUUUAAGAUUUGAGGGUUUGUGUAUGUAUGAUAUAAAAGAGUUUAUGUAAUUGAAACUCUGUGAAUGUGGAUGUCGACGUGAAUAUGUUUAAUGGUUGUCGACUCGAUAUCGUUUGAUAAAUAUUACUUCGUUUUGCUGCGAAGUAGAUAAAAUUUGUGUAAUAUAGUUUCAUCCAGCACCGUGGCUGUUGCAUAUUAUUUGCAGAAGGAAAUACUAGCAGAGAUAGAUGCUUUGAACUGAUUUCGUGUGCCGAGUUCAAGAUUAUUCAUAACAUUAGAGUAGUACGCAGUAAUGUAUUAUUAUUCUACACAUAUAUGAUAAUUUCAUUUUAGAGUU